UUUCCUUUCCGGGCCGCAGCAUAGCAUCGUGUCUUCUCACGCCUGCCUGCCGAGCCCUAGUUCUUGUUCGGCGCUGUUGGAUUGAGCUCAGGUCCGGCCGACGCCUUUCAUCUCCGGUCUCCUUCAUGUUCCGAUUUCUUUCUUUCUUCUCAGGUCUUCCCCGAGCCUUUCCUUCCCCGAUCCUUCCUCUCUAUUUUGCCGAUCCUUUCUUCCCCGAUUCGAUCGCCGGCUUGAAGAUGCCCUAGGGGUUUCGAAGGUCACGAAUUUGGAGAGGUUGGAAUCAGGGAGGUGUUGUUGGAUUAGGGGAAGGAAUCGGAUCAGACUCGUGCUAGGUUUUCCCUUGAUCGGAUCAGUGGACCUCCACCUCCUUGCUGUUGAUUGAGGUCUCAAAUUGCAGGUUAGGUACUGUGGGGUUUUGGUUGGUGGUCAGUAAUUGCAUCCGGGCAGAAAGGUAGAUUCUAGCAGCUCAUCCGGCAGGACCUCUUUCCGGCAGCCCUCUUGUUGACUGAGCUUGAGGAUUUUGAUUCGAGACAGACGUCUUGACGUUGACUUCGGAUUUGGGAUUGUACCUUCUAUUUGAG
Molecule: long non-coding RNA, 581 nt
Organism: Zingiber officinale
Lineage: Eukaryota; Viridiplantae; Streptophyta; Magnoliopsida; Zingiberales; Zingiberaceae
Exons: 3
Source: RefSeq, a predicted model, not a curated record